This is a long non-coding RNA of Ornithodoros turicata, 1042 nucleotides long. RefSeq lists it as uncharacterized. The transcript has 4 exons. NCBI's taxonomy places the organism in Eukaryota, Metazoa, Arthropoda, Arachnida, Ixodida, Argasidae. The record is from RefSeq and is a predicted model, not a curated record.
UGGCUGUAGCACUAUAGGACGUCCACGCUUCACGGCUGUGGCUACCGAUCUGCGAAUUUCUCGCUUUCGCGUCAGAGUUCACGUCUUCGCACAGAUUUCGAGUGGACGCCACAGCCGAAGGCUCGUGAGAAUUCCGGUUGGGCAGGCAAAAGAAGGUUGCAACGGAUACUUCCAGGCAGCAGGUGAUCACGUGAUGAAGACAUCCCACAUCCUACUAAACAGAAUCUACGAAAGAACAGCUGAGUACUUUCGUGACUCUCAUCUGCAUCGAACGCCUUUAUCUCGUAGACAACUUCCAGGGCUAGCUUCAUGGCAAUGAACUCGUUCAAGUGGGUGUCGGACGUAUUGUCAUUCCCAAGCACUGCACUGAUGGUAGACCUGUAGCACUCCAGGACAGGGGAAUCUUCUUCCUCGGGUGGAAAUGUUGCCAGGUUUUCCAAGCCCGCUUGAACGAACCCUUCCGCCAACAGACUGCCCACAGUAGCGUAGUUCAGCCACUUGCCUUCGUCGGCGUAAAACGCACUCGGACGCAAGACGGGUGUGGACGCUACCACCACGUUGUCCCGCCGCACAUAUCCCACAUUUCCAGCAAACUGCCAUUGGGAUAACGGUAAGGUGGUGUCUUUGACGCCACUCCUGCGCAGCUCUGCUUGAGCCUUCAGCAAGAGAACAACGUUCCUCACGAAGGAAGGACCCAAAAAAUUGACGAGUAAGCAUACUACUAGGACUGCCACGGCGGCGACAAGCAGCAUAACGUCUGUGCCAAUUUUGACUCUUCUGUGGUGACGACGCCUCAGGAGGUCUUCUUUUCGCCCCUGCAAUACUGCAAAAGCGAACUUGUGAGACCGUGCUAUGUGGUGAAGUUCUCAAGCUCUGGAAUGAGGCCAACAACAGCAAGUCUGAGUCAUCACCCCCCCCCCCCCCGCCUCCUGUUUAAGGUUUUUUUUCCUUUGUGCAAUGCUCACGAACUCGCCUUCUUAAAAAAAACGACAAUAAAACCUGAGACAUGGAACAGAAAAAGACAACACGGCACGUUCUCAAU